Populus trichocarpa (black cottonwood) is the source of this 833-nucleotide long non-coding RNA. RefSeq lists it as uncharacterized. The record is from RefSeq and is a predicted model, not a curated record. The transcript has 2 exons. Lineage: Eukaryota; Viridiplantae; Streptophyta; Magnoliopsida; Malpighiales; Salicaceae.
AACCCUGCUAGCUUUAAACUUUAAUCCUUCGAACCAUUUGCUCAACCCGUUUGAUUGUACAAAAAAAAAUGGAGGUGAUGAACAAAAUACUAUCCGAGAGCGAUGCAAAAAAUAAGCGACUUGAAUUUCCGGCUAGGAGUCUCUCGGCCUUCCCCAUGCCAGAUGGUCAGAACUCGGUCCAAUUUGUGGCAUUUGACAUGCAAGAACACCAAUGGAGACUUAAGGUCUCCAUCCGCAAUGAAGGUAGGUAUCCGAAACCUUGGCUAAAGGGCGAAUGGCAUGACUAUGUUCAUCAGAAAGGGCUCAAGAAAGGAGAUAAAGUUAUCUUGACUAUGGAUGAGGAAGAGAAUGGCGAAAGAAUUUAUCGUAUCAGAGCUGAAAAAAAGCAUUUUGGUUUCUGGUAUUCAAUUGAUGAUCAGCAGUAAUAGCUCUCCAUAAAUCGAAGCAUGAGGCUGGGCUCAUGUUUAGUGUGGCAGGCAAGCAGAAACUAUCUUUUGGAUCUGUCUGAAUUAAGUUCACUCUGGUUGUGUAAUGAGUUAGGUCAAAAUAGAAUAUGUGUCUGUCUUGUAGAAGGUAAGUCCUAGCUAGUCGUAAGAACAAUUGUCCCUAUGAAUUUGUUUCCUUCAAUACUCUGCCUUGGUGUUCUGUCAUUGUUGUAUUUUGUUUUGGGUAUUAUGCUUAUUUAUGUGAGAUGUGCUUUGUGUCUGUUGGAGUGGAUACAGUUCCAACAUCUUUGAUUAGGUUUGUUCUACUGUGCCUUUGUAGACAUCCCCAACAAGGAUGAUUCUUGUAUCUUCACUUCGAAUUUAUAUUAUAUAAAAGAAAUUCUUGUA